UUUUUUUUUGUGUGUGCAGCAGAUCGGUCCUAUUAUUGCCCUUCUCCAUCGAAUUAUAUUUUGUGUGCAUCCGUCAAUAUACAAUGGUAUUUUGAUGGAGGGACAUACUCCAUGAUGCUUUGACAUUUUUUGGGCGUCCCCUCUGACGAUGAAAUUUUAGAUCAUUAUCCGUCCGCGACGGUGCGCGUACAUUUUUCCACAGGAGAAAACUUGGGGACUGUUACUUGUUUCGUCAUAUUUUAUAAUUGUCAGUUUAAUGCGUGCAUUAUCGACCGUUGAAAAUAUAUCGUAUGCCUAUUUUUGUUAGUCCUCACUUUGAGCGAUUGAUUAUAUUUUUUAAUUGAUUCUUCUCAUUAUAAAACAUAUUUUUGCCAUUUUUUAAUUUAUAUUAUGUGAUCCAUAUAUUUAUUUUAUCUUGGUUAAAAUCCAUGUCAACAGAUGCCCCUCGAGGUCUAGGUUUGAUGUUUUUUUUGACUCGGACCCAGAGCUCGAAACUUGACAAUCUAUUUUGUGCUUAUAGUAUUUUCGUAUGUGGCUCAUGAUUUGUUUUAGUAUUCCUUUUCAGCAUCCGAUUUUCUAUUCAGAUGCAUCCCAGCUAUACGUGGAUGUGCAGUUUUUUGUCUACACUAUGCAUUUUUUAUAUUAUAAUUUAGGCUCGGAACUCGUUCUUUUCGGAGCGCACGACUUAACAUUGGGAUUUUAAACUCAUGAAGAUUGGAUCAAAUAUAACAUUUUUGAAACAUGCUUAUAGUUAAGCUCAUAUAGCAUUGAGCAUUUUUAUGUGUGUUCAAAGUUUCACACGACGCUUGUAGUUUAGGCUCAUAUAGCAUUGGAGCAUUAUAUCUCUUUCUCUCCAUACAUGGUUAGUUUAUACUCGUAUAUCCUGUGAGCUUAUAUUUUCCAUAUGAAGGAUACACAUAUCAUGCUUUUGUAGUCAAGCUGCCAGCGAAUCAUGCUUUGCGUAACAUUUUCUGUUCAUUUAUAUUUUCCAUAUGAAGGAUACACAUAUCAUGCUUAUGUGUUUGCAUGGUGCCAAUAAUUUAUGUUGGAGUAUGUUUUUUUGUUCAUUUUUGUUGUAACUCUGACUGUUUGUAGUCAUGGGUCCUUCAAUGGAAUGAUUUCGAUGAGCAACUUUUUCUUCAUGGUUUUCUAUGUCGAUGGCUUUCAGGGCCAAGUCGUCAAAAGUGAUUCGUCACACCCCUUGUAUGUGCCAACACACUUGGUAGGAGACUAUCCGCGGACAUCCAUAUUGUGCCAACCUCAGUGAAUUGUUCUUCACACUGAGGCUUAAAUUCUCCACCUAAUAAUAACUUAGAAAACAAUAUUGUUCAGUUUUUUCUUUGUACAGGCCAAUUUGGGGAAACAUGCGAUAUAUUUUUUUGUUACAAAAUAUCCAAGAAGGAUAUCUUGCAUUUUUUUGAGUCCUAAUCGAACAUGGUUGUAAAUUUUUUUUGUACCAAGGACACAAUUAGUCCCGAUGAAAUUUGAACAAUUGUCGAAAGAAUAUAGCUUUGCUACGUAUCGAAUCUUGGUACGCGACAACUAUAUGAGCUAUAUGUUACCAUUCCAUUGGAAAAGGGGUCAAACCACCAUAUGGAGGUUAUGGUUUGACAUACCUUGGCCAGUUGGCAUGCCAUGUCUCCAUAUAUUGAGCCUUAGCUUGCUGGUAAAUCACCUAUUUUAUUAUCUCAAGAGUGACACAAGAAGAUACAUAACUUUCUUUGCUUGAGGAUGUGUUAUUUAUUUCCCAGGUAUGCAGAUUCUUCCCAGUUUUAAUGGAAUAAAACAUUUAAUUGAGAUAACUGCUCCUCAACAGAAGUCACUCCUCAACCCGCAUAAUUUGUUCUGGAUGAAAAUUGGCAUAACCAUAUGUAACCUGAAGAUCACUGGGUUUGAUGUCUGGUUGCACUAGAAUGCACUCUUAGCAUUCUAUACCACAUGAAAGAUCAUGGUAUGACCUCAUCCACAACUUUUUCGUUGAGAAAUUCGGAAGCAGGUGUGUUGACAUAUAUAUAUAUAUAUGAUUAUUUUCAACAAAUUUUGAUGGGUUUGCCCCCAGUAUUUUAGGAUAUGGCAAGAUUGGAUUUAUCGCCCACCUGUUGGGAGGAUUUUUUUGCACUAGAUAUUGAGUGUGUAUUUUCCUUAUGUGCCAUUGGAUAUAUGCUUCACAUGUAGCAUCCUUGGAUGAUGGUAUCCCUUUUGUAUGUAUUUGUCAAGUUGAUCAUAUUUAUUGACUAAUAUUUUUUGUUAAUUCACGCCACCUUUUUUUGAAAAGAUGAUGCUAUUAGUUUGGUUUGUCGCAAGACUCAUGAAAGAGUUGGCUUUUUUAUACAGAGAAUAUCCAUGCUUAUACUUUUAUCUUGUUAAGCAUUAGAGAGUUAUUUCAAUGACCUAGCUUAUGUUGAUAUGGCAUUGGAUCAUAUGUUUGAAACUGGUUGUUCUUUGACUUACUACGAUUUCAAACAAGAUAUUGUUUGUUGUUAACAUAUUUCCGUUCAAAAGAAACAAAGGAGCGUAAUUGACCCUUCUUCUGUUUCGGUGGUACUCCCGGGUGGGCUUUAGCCACUUGAUUAUGAGUGCUUCUGCUAUUUUCUAGAAACACUUCUAAAAUUUAGAUCAAUCAUUAUGUAGGCUGACAAUACAGUGAUUUUUUUAUGCAAAAUUGCAUUUCGAGUUUGAGCCCGUGAGGCAAGUUUUGGCGAAAUAUGAUUGAUCUUGCACCUUUUGCUCGAGAGAACAAUGUAUGCUUGCAGGUUUGUCUCUUGCAGCAUUGGAGCAGUUUUAGACAUAUGGUUAUUUAAUAUGAUGUUAGGAGUAUUUACUCCCAGAUGCACACGUUUGAACUUCAAUUUUUUGAUGAAUAUUUGAUUUCCGUCGAUUUGUUGCAGCACAGUUUAUACCCUUAAGGUGUUGGAGUAUUUUUUUUGCUUCCCUAGUUUAUACUCAUGAGGAUGUGGAGUAGAUUUUUUUUGGGUGCCCCAGUUUAGACUCGUUAAGCUAUGGAGCAUUUUUAUUUUAUUUUCCCUAGUUUAUACUCGUGAGGGUAUGGAGUAGAUAUAUUUAUUAGGGUGCCCCAGUUUAGACUCAUGAGGGUAUGGAGUAUUUUUAUUUUAUGUUCCUCAGUUUAUAUUCAUGAGGGUAUGGAGUAAUAUUUUUGGGAGCCCCAGUUUAUAUUCAUGAGAGUAUGGAGUAAUAUUUUUUUCUAUCACAGUUUAGACUCGUAAGUUUAUUGGAGUGUAUUUUUUUGGGGUGCCCCAGUUUAGACUCGUGAGGCUAUGGAGUGAUUUUUUUAUGAGCCCCAGUUUAUACUCAUGAGGGUAUGGACUAUGUUUGAUAAAAAAAAUUGCAUCGCAGUUUAUACUCGUAAGUUCUUGGAGUAAUAUAUGUUUUAUACCACAGUUUAUACUCGUGAGGUAUUGGAGUAUGUUUGAUGAUUUUUUUGCAUCACAAUUUAUACUCGUAAGUUCUUGGAGUAAUAUAUGUUUUAUACCAUAGUUUAUACUCGUGAGGUAUUGGAGUAUGCUCCCUUUUUUGCAUCGCAGUUUAGACUCAUAAGUUGUUGGAGUAAUAUAUGUUUUAUACCACAGUUUAUACUCGUGAGGUAUUGGAGUAUGUUCCCUUUUUCUGCAUCACAGUUUAGACUCAUAAGUUGUUGGAGUAAUAUAUGUUUUAUACCACAGUUUAUACUCGUGAGGUAUUGGAGUAUGUUCCCUUUUUGUGCAUCACAGUUUAGACUCAUAAGUUGUUGGAGUAAUAUAUGUUUGUAGUUUUUAAUUGGGUGCACAUAAUGAAGCAACAUUUGUAUUGCAGGCAUUAAAGCAAAAAAAUAUGUCGUUUCUCUUCAGAUUCACUUCUCUUCUAUGAGAACAAAAUUAUGAUGAUACAAGAACAUUUUCUUCCCUGCAUCAUCAUAUUAAAAAAUGCACCUAGUGAAAUAGUCAUAACCAUAAUAUAAAGAAACAAAGGUCAUGUACAUAUCAUUUUCUUUGAUAAAGACUGAACAACCUUUUUCUUACAUAUUUCACCUAGGAAUAAACAUUUCAACAUGCACUAAGAUAGCUGGUUACAUAUUUCACUCAGGAACAAACAUUUCAGCGGGUCCUAAGAUAACCAGUUAUGUUGGAAUGUCGCCUAUAAACCUCGAAGCUCGCAUAGGCAUCCAGACAUGCAUACUUGAUCCGGUCAUGGUCCAGGUUGGACUUUUCCCACUGACUAACAAUGAUGCUUUUGUCCUUGUUAAGACUUAUGUUUGCAACCUUCUUUGCUAGCUUCUCCAAUGAAGCCAAAUUGCCUGCUUUUUGGUUAGGAACCUUGAUACCCAGUCCCUGAACAUCAACAGGUUUUCUGAUACCCAAGUUAUAGAACUUGAGUUUUUCAAUGUCAUUGCCAAUGGCGGCACCCGCAAAUUCGACAGUCUCAUUGUCAAGGAAGUUGCGCAGAAGUGGAGGGAUAAAACUCCUGGCAUGAGCCUGGUAUAGCUGGUAAAUUAGGCAAUACUUGCCCACACAAAGUUGCAAGAUAGCAACACGUUGUGGCUCUUGAUUAGAGAGAACAAGUUGUUGCUCAAGUGGAAGCUUCUUACGCUCUUUGUUGUGGACAUAUCUAGUGUAUUCACAGUCAAGGCCAACAACACGCCACUUGGCGUGAUUAAGAUACUUUUUCCAGAUGAACCUGAUGAAGGCAACAAUUAUUGAAGGGUUGCUAGUCACCGUAGUAUGAAUUCUUAUACCGCCCUUGCUGAUAUGAAAAAGGCAAUCUAGAUGAUUGUUGUCGACACUCUUGGGGAAUUGGAUACGGACUUUGCCGACCUUAAUAUUGUGAAGGUUGACAUGGCGAAUAUUUCUUUGCUGAGGUUGAUGGCACAAUGACUCCAACGAAGUCUGGGAGGAAUCAUAUGCAAUGGGUGUUAAUGACGACAAAGGACUUGACAAUGUUGACGUUGGGUUCACAUGACAUGUUUCAUAGCCAUGGGAAUUGGGGUGCUUUUUCUUGCAUUAAGGGGAAACUUGAGAACCGUCUUAGAGCAUUCUCCAAUGGAUUUAUCGGCCAGCGGGAGAAUAGGUUCUGAAGUAUCAACUUGAAUGUUAUUGUGAACCUUUGAUGUCCUUCACUAAAAAAACAAUGAGGAGGAAAACAUAAUUUUGGUAUUUCCCCUAUUCAUAGGCUGCUCAUAUUGGAGUUUGUCCACUGUCUUCCCUUUUCCUUCUUUGUCUGCCCUCAUACUUCUCCCAAUGUUGAGUGGAGAGCAUACUUCCAUUCCUUGGUCAUGUUCAGUCGGUGAUGCAGUCAUAUUAUCUAAAUGUUGAUUUGUUGAAGUCACACAUGGACCAACCGGCGCAUCAAGCCAAAUGUCUCCAAUGCGGAGCAUGACCGACUGCGGCACUUGACCUUCCAUACCUUCAAAUAAAGAAAACUUUAUAUUAGUUUUCUUUUAGUAUAUUUAGCAUACACAAUGUUUAUAUAUUUCAUUUGCACUAGAAAUUCAUAUGUUGCAAUCCUAUGUUGGAAUUCAAAGAUGAGGGGAGAAAUAGGUCCCACUGGGCGUGCCAGAAUCUGAUGAUGGAAAAAUGGCGGGCGUGAAAAACGCAUCCACGUCAUUGAUACAGAGUGAAAUUUAAAUGCAUAAAAUAAAAAUAGAGUCAAACAUUGCAGGUACUUUAUUUCCAGAACUCUUACAUUUACAUAAAAAAUUGUUAAUUACAUCUCCAAAGAGAAAACCCUGAUUAAGAAUUCCAACAUAUCUAUUACAUAGGAUUACAUUACAUGCCUAUUACAAUAUUCUACCAGAGAAAUCCUCCUCGCGGUCGACGAUGAAUUCCUUCUUGGUGAACUUGAAGUUUGUUUCAUGCAAAUACUCCUCCAUGAUUUCAUGUGUGAUGUUGGGAAUAUAUAUUCCUAGCAUGCAACAAUUUGUUCGUGUUCAACAUCAUCUAUAUGCAGAAUGGAGAUUGAUUUUGGCUAGGCACAGUUUUAUCCUAUGUUUGGCACAUGGGAUAUGGCUAUGUAUUUUCCUUUAGGAAUUUUGCAUGAUAUACUUGGUUAGUGGCAUGGAUAUAUGUGACAUGACAAUUUUAAUGAGUUAUGCAUCAUCACAUUACUACUAGCAUUGUGCGACACUGAUGUGGUGCCCGUGUGUAGCGUAACGAACGGAAGCUUUCUGACACCAAUCUUAAUGCUUUUUAUGGUGCAUGUGAUAUGUGCCAUGUUUUAUUGAUUUUGACUUCAUACGGUAUCAAAACAAACAACACAGUGCAAUGAUAUGACACACACGUAUAGCUUGACCCGGAUGGAGUUUGUUUAUGAUAUUUUUGUUUGUUUAAAGCCUAUGUGGUCUACAUGAGAUAUGCCUUAUCAUGCAUUUUACUUGAACUUUGUAUGCAUAUAUGAAUGUGGAGUGAACUUAUUUUUUUGUUAAGUUUUGUUUUACCUGUAUUACUACUAACACCGCUUAGCACUAAGAUAAUGCCCGCAUGCAGCGUAACCAAGCAAAGGUUUGUGGAGCAAUUAUGGUAUUGCAUGAGUCAUAUUUUAUCUGUCAUUUUUGUUUAUGUUUGUACCUUACAUGGUAUUAGCACUAACUCCACAUAGCGUCAUUUCGUUGGCGCUCGUGUGUAGCAUAACCCAAGUAAAGUGAGUUUGUGUUAUCCAUUUGUGAUGAUGCUAAUAGUUUAGGCUCUUAUAGCAUUGGAGCAUUUCAUGACAUAUUUUAUUUGACUUUGGCUAAAAUAUGUGGCCCGGAUGUUUUGUUUAAUUUUCUCUCACUUGUAUUACUACUAACACUGCGUAGCAUUAAGGCGAUGCCCGCGUGUAGUGUAAUUGGGUAAGAUUGGUUUUUAUGAUGCAACAUGUUUUAUUAUUCAUCUUGCAUGAUUUUGGUUUUUUGGGUGUGUAACAUGAACACAUUUUUAGUUAAGUUUUGCCAACUUUUUGUAUUACUACUAACAUCGUGUGACAUUAAGAUAAUGCUCGCGUGCAGCGUAACCAAGUGACUGAAUAUAUUUUUAUGCUCUUGUUUGUAUUACAACUAGCGUGACACAUAAUGCCCGUAGCGCAUCCAAACAAGAGUUUAUCAUGAGUUCAGUUUAGAACUUUUGUAAUUUCAUUCCAACUUAGUCAUAUCCAUUUUUUAUGAUGACCAAAUUAAGGCAAUUUUUAUGAGGUUUUUGUACCUAUGACACUCUCUUGAUUCGUAUCCGCGUAUAGGGACCAUACCAAGAAAUGAGACGGUCGUCCUGGCCUGUAUCGCUAAGGGGACCGAAUCAAGAAGGAGAUCAUUAGGACAAAGCAUAUGAAACAUGCAGAAGGAACAUGCAUGCUCCUUGACUCGUACCGCGAUGGUCGAACCAAGGACAAAACUUUUAUGUGGAUUAAACAUGCACUUUGGUUUGUACCACAAUGGCCGAACCAAAGGCAAGAAUUUUAGGGAGAUAAAACAUGCUUCUUAAUUUGUGUCAUGAUAUCCGAACCGAAGGCAAAAGUUUAGAGUGGACAUAACAUCAAUUCCUUGGUUUGUACCGCGAUGGCCGAACCAAAGACAAAAGUUUAAGAUGGAUGUAACACACUCCUUAGUCUGUACCGUAAUGGCCGGACUAAGGGCAAGAAUUUUGGGAGAGGAGGAAGAAGAAAACUCCCUGGUCUUUACCACAAUUGCUAAACCGGGGGCUAGAAGAGAGCCAUGAGUCUCACCUUUCAAACCUCCUACACGUAGGACGCCUACCUCCUUCUCUGCUCCUGUGCUACUGUAUGUGUGUGUGAUUUUUAGCAGAGGAGAGGAACGCACUAAGGGCCAACCCUGGACCAGUCUGCAUGCCUUGUCUUUAUAGGGACGGCGUUUGCAGCACUGACCCUUGAGGCUGCCGCGCACGCCAAGAACUCAACUUGCACGGCGUGUAAAACGUGGGAGCAGGAGCGUGGCUGGCUGGUAAAACGUGGGUAGGAAAUGGAGUGCUCCAGACUUGGUCUCCGUGAGUUGAUUGAUGGGACCUGGGCGGGAGCGCACAUGGCCCUUUGGCCCAAUUAGUUUAAUCAAUUUGCUUAAUUAAACACUACCUUGAGAUGGGCAAGACAACAUCUGGGUCUCUUAAUUCAAUUGUAGCCUAAUGCAUGCAUCAUGCAUGCCUAGACAUGAUUAAGAGGAAACCAAUUACGAUGUGUGGCUAUAUGAGCUAAGUCAUAUACGCAUACCACAUGCAUGUAUAUAUAUGCUAUCUAAUGGAUCUCUUUUUCUUCUUCUUCUUUUUUGUGUGUGCAGCAGAUCGGUCCUAUUAUUGCCCUUCUCCAUCGAAUUAUAUUUUGUGUGCAUCCGUCAAUAUACAACGGUAUUUUGAUGGAGGGACAUACUCCAUGAUGCUUUGACAUUUUUUGGCGUCCCCUCUGACGAUGAAUUUUAGAUCAUUAUCCUUCCGCGCCGAUGCGCGUACAUUUUUUCCAUAGGAGAAAACUUGAGGAUUGUUACUUGUUUCGUCAUAUUUUAUAAUUGUUAGUUUAAUGCGUGCAUUAUCGACCUUCGAAAAUAUAUCGUAUGCCUAUUUUUGUUAGUCCUCACUUUGAGCAAUUGAUUAUAUUUUUUAAUUGAUUCUUCUCAUUAUAAAACAUAUUUUUACCGUUUCUUUAAUUUAUAUUAUGUGGUUCAUAUAUUUAUUUUAUCUUGGUCAAAAUCCAUGUCGACAGUCCUUCCUGGUGCUGAUCAUCUCCCAUUGCUCAUCUGGGCGUCCACAUAUCUGGUAGAUAGUGUCCUUAAGAUCCUUGUGAUAAACUUCGUUGAUGCGCCCUAUGGCGAUGUGGGCUGCCAUGCUCUUUCCUAGAUUCUAGGUUGGUGCAUCAAAGGAAAACUAUAUGGGUUCAGUAACUGGCGUGAAUGUCCUUCCUGGAACUUGAACUCGAAUCAUCCAACGCUCUCCUUCUGUUAAAGUAACAGUGUAGGUCCCGAUGAAGCUUGUAUACCAAUGUUCAGGUACCUAGUGACUUCCUUCAAGUGUCGUUCAAAAGGUGUGUCUUCAUCCGGCUGUGCGAACUUGUUCCUUGUGUCCGCCAUCCUAUAGAGUAGAAGAUGGAGAGAAGUCUGAAAUAAGUAGAGGAGAGUGACAUAUGUCUCAUCUUAGUGUUUGUGUCCUACAUUCAGCGUGUGCUCUGAUACCAUCUUGUAGCGAUCCAACCUCAAUCGGUUGAAUGUUUGUGCAUAAGUGUCAUCCCUGGAUCGGUAAUGCUGACACACACAGUACUUGAAGGAUCUAUAACAGAGUGCAAUCACACACUUAUUACAUCGAAUAACUCAUAAAAGAGUACUUGUUACAAUAAUACGGCUUAAGGCCAUCUAAAUACGAUAACAGCGGAAGGCUUGGAAGAUAAAAUGAGUCCAUCAACUCCAACGGCGUAGCUGAGUGCACGACAACGACCUAGCGCACCUUACUCUUCGUCUGAAAAGUCUGUAACAUGAUAUUUUGCAGCCCAAAACAGGUCAGCGCAUGGAAUAUGCUCGCAAUAUAACACAGUCGAGCAAUGAACAGGUAAAUGCUAUCACUACAUGCAUAUAUGGCUGGUGGAGACUAUGGUUAUAAUGUUUUUGCGAAAAGCCAAAUUUUCCCUACAACAAAGAAAUAUAUUUUAUUUAGCUAUCAUGGUAGUUGGAAAAACAUUGAGAAUGGUAAGUCCCCAUCUCAAUCCCAAUUAAAAAGUAAUUAACAACCCACCAAAUUUAUUUAGAGUGAUGAGAUCAACAUGAUAAUUCAAGAACCAGAUACUCAAGAUGUCCAUAACUCGGGACACGGCUAACCAUGAUUAGUUUGUACGCUCUUUAGAGGUUUGCGCACUUUUCCCCACAAGACUCAAUCUCCUCCGUUAGAUUUCUUGCACUACAUGAUGUUUGAGAAACGGAUGACCGAGACACAGUCUUUCAGAAGCAUUAACUCUUUACUCUGGGUGGACAGUUACACCUACUUUCCCCUACAUCAGCUAGCCCACCACUGAAAGAGGUCAUGCAACAUACUCAACUAUGCUAGAGCCCAUAAUAGCUUGUGGCUGCACACGGAAGUUUCUAGCAUGAAUAAUCUUAUGAUCCCUUUGAGCCUGGGUGGCGAACCAAAGGACGGCACUGGUAUAUCCCCAGGUGCCCGCAACCAAUCCACCCAGAAUGUGUGUUUAAGUAGCCACCUUAAGUUAACCAUUAAUUAACAAUCUCACAUAUGUCAUGGAUACACUCAAACCAAAUCCACGUCUACGAGCAUAGCAAGGCAAAUUAACCAUAACGUAGAAGUAACUCCCAAAGUUUGAUAAUAAAAGGGCAAUAGGUUCUACCUCAUUAUCUACUUCCCAAACCCACAUGUUAAGAGAUCCUACUCACGCAAUAUUUGAGGGUUGUAACUAAUGCAUAAAAAAACUGGGAAAUAAAGGGAUAUGAUCAAAGUGUUUCUUGCCUUGCUGACGAUACGCAAAACCUAGUGACUCGUAGUAGCAUGUUGUGCACUCUGGGAAUUCUAGAGCAAACAAAAAAUAGCAUACAUAAGCACUCAAUAAAAUAUGCAAGGGUAAAACUUCAAAUAAUAAGAUCCAAUCUGAAAGUUCAACUGAAGAGGUUCGAUUUGCAAAAAGAAUCGAUCAAAUCGGAGGUACGGAACUGAAACUACGGUCAAAAGAAUUUCGAAUUCAAAUCUGCUUGAAACCAAAUUUUAAGUUGUCAAAACCUUGUUCAAGUUGAUUAAAUAAAAAGAGGGGUUCGAGAUGAAGAUUUUGGUGUUGGUUUCACUGGAUUUGGACAAACGGUUAAGAAAUGGCGAGGGUUUGAAUAUCAGGGGCUAAUCUGUGAUAAAAAUAAUCGCAGGUAGGUCCCUGGCAGAAAAUAAAAUAAAAAGAAAAUACGAACGAAUGAACAUUCGCUGUCUGAACCUAACCGGCGAACAUCGUUCAUUAAAACGAAUGAACAGACAAACGUUCACAAAAUAAAAUAAACCGAUGAAAAGCGAUCUAAGAAAAUAAACUGGAAAACUAAAAAAGAGAGUUAACCGAGGAAACCCGACCGGUCAAAAUGGGGUCAACGGCGGCGGCUCCGGCGAGAUCCGCGGCAGCGGAGAUGGCGGUCGAUGGCUGCGGGGCGACGGCGGCGCGGCGCGGGGCAGCGGGCGGCGGCGGCGGCUUCUAGCGGCGGUGGCUAAAGGCGGUGGCGGUGCGGCUCGAUGGGAGGAGGCGGCGGGCCUCGACCCUAUUUAAAGGCCGAGGGCGUGCGGCUUGGGGAAGGGGUCGCUGGGAGGAGGAGUCCUCCGCGGACUCGGCUGCGGCGGCGUGCGCUGGCCGGACUCCANNNNNNNNNNNNNNNNNNNNNNNNNNNNNNNNNNNNNNNNNNNNNNNNNNNNNNNNNNNNNNNNNNNNNNNNNNNNNNNNNNNNNNNNNNNNNNNNNNNNNNNNNNNNNNNNNNNNNNNNNNNNNNNNNNNNNNNNNNNNNNNNNNNNNNNNNNNNNNNNNNNNNNNNNNNNNNNNNNNNNNNNNNNNNNNNNNNNNNNNNNNNNNNNNNNNNNNNNNNNNNNNNNNNNNNNNNNNNNNNNNNNNNNNNNNNNNNNNNNNNNNNNNNNNNNNNNNNNNNNNNNNNNNNNNNNNNNNNNNNNNNNNNNNNNNNNNNNNNNNNNNNNNNNNNNNNNNNNNNNNNNNNNNNNNNNNNNNNNNNNNNNNNNNNNNNNNNNNNNNNNNNNNNNNNNNNNNNNNNNNNNNNNNNNNNNNNNNNNNNNNNNNNNNNNNNNNNNNNNNNNNNNNNNNNNNNNNNNNNNNNNNNNNNNNNNNNNNNNNNNNNNNNNNNNNNNNNNNNNNNNNNNNNNNNNNNNNNNNNNNNNNNNNNNNNNNNNNNNNGGUCGGGGCGCGGGGGUGGGCUGCGGCGGCGGCCUGGCUCGGCUGGGCCGUUGGCCCGGUCGGGCGCGCGACUUUUUUUAAACAAUUCCACCGAGAGGAAAAAAUCCUAAAUAAAUAAAAAUAAAAAUCUAAAAAUGCCAAAACAUAUUUUCACCGUCUAAAUAAAAUAUUUAGAACUUAGUGAACAUUUUAUUGGCCUAAAAAUGCUAUUUUGAAAUAUGCAUAUUUUUCUAAUUCAAAUAAAAUAGCAAUAAAAUCCAAAUAAAAUAAUUUAUUUGAUUUUAAUAAUUUACCUCAAAUAUUUCAUUUAUUUUGGAGAAGUCGUAUUAUCUCCUCUCAUAUAUUUUUAAUAUUGGAAAUAUUAUUUGGAGAGAAAAUAAUAAAAACCAAAGUGACUCACUUUUCAAUAUUUGAGAAAAUUCAAAUAUGAAAAUAAUAAAAUCCCCAACUCUCUCCGUGGGUCCUUGAGUUGCUUAGGAUUUUGGGAUCACAAAGCCAAAAUGCAAAUAAAAUAUGAUAUACAUAUGAUGACCUAUGUAUAACAUUCCAAAUUGGAAAUUUGGGAUGUUACACUAUCCCCACCCCCCUAGACCCCAGAAUCCACCUAUAGGGUAUUCUCGAGUCCUCCUCUACCGAUUUUCGCAAAAUCAGAGUUCUCAUGUGCGCUAGAAUGGUGGCUCGAUCUCGCUGGAGUCCAUUGAAGCUGAAGCUCCGCCGCCGCCGAUUUCUUCAGCACCGAGGGUCCGCAGCAUCUCCUUACUCCUGUGUCUUGAUCUCCUUACCCUCCCCUAUCUUCCUCAUAUGCUAGUUCGCACAGAGACACCCCAUACUUGAGCAAUUGGAGCUCGCCCUACAAUCCACUGCCGCCACAGUAGUCCAACCACUCGCCAUCACCACCCGAGGGUCUUCCAGUCCGCGUGGACGUCGCCAAACUCACCGCCAUCAUACUCCUCUUCCUCUGGUCGGUCCUUCGUCGCUAGAGAUUCCCUGCAGCUGUCAUUGUUGUCGAGGUCCGAGCCGCCGAGGUCCUCUUCUCCAAGUCCGGCAGCCUCCCGACUCUCUGUUCUCCGGUGAGUCACCCAGCACCGUCUGAUCUGUUUUAAAUGGUCGAGAUUAGAUCGACCAGCUUUUAUUAUUUCUGGACUAUUAUCCUUUAAGUUGUGUCCGUCUGUCGUUUAAGCCACGCAGUGAACGGUUUCCCACCAAUCACCUAGUGCCAUGUGGCACAUCCACAGCAGCCGCGGCAGUGCUUCCAAGAACGCUGCCAUGGUACAAUUUUUCUGGAGGAUCAGAACUAAGCGUUGGAGUACUUCAACACCUUUCAAGGCAAGUAUGCACAUUUAAUUUUGCUUAUCCUAUAUUCUGCUAUGUGUGUGUGGUUUUAUGCUAUGCUAUAUGUUUGGCUUCAUAUGUGUAUUCCGUGUUACCAUGUUUUGCUGUUGAUUGUGGUAUGUGAUGGGGUGAUCAACUUGCUAUGGUAGACGCGGGCAUGUGUCGAGUGAUCCAUGAAAGUGGCACAUGUUUAUAGACGUAGGCUUGGGAUAAUUAACUAGGUGAAUGCAUCACUAGCAGAGCGCUCUAUUGUCCCUAGAGAAUGCACCAUUGAUAGAGCGCACUUGAGGAGAAGUAUAGUUUUCUGAACUUAAAUCAGGUGAAUGCGUCCUUGGCAGAGCGCUCUAUUGUUCCUAGAGAAUGCGCCACUGACUAGCGCACUUGAGAAAUACUUCUGAAGUUCUUGUCAUGUUUAUUUAGAAUCUUUGGGUUAUCUUGGGCAAGUAAAUUAGAGACGGUUGUGAGUUCAGGUAGUGGAGGUAGGUGAAGACAUUCUUCUCCAAACUAACUUGUGUGUUUUGUCAUACAUCGCUUUGUGGAUGUAGGUUUGCUAAAUCAUAUUGUGUGAUUUGCCAAUACAUUCAAUGUAUUGACCCUUUGUGGCUGCAACUUAUUAUGUUGUAGGAUUUCAGUUGAUCAGUGAUAUAUAGUAGGGUCGCGAGUCUUCACUCGGCAUUUUCUCUAGUGGGCAUUGAUGGGACUCAUCAUUUGCUUAUGCUACAUUUCCGCUGUUAUUAUUGAAUAAGUUAGUCAUGUGCUAUUCAGUUUGUAAUACUUUAUAGUUUCUGGAUCAUACAUUAUAGUAAACGAUGCACUUGUUAUUUGAUAUUCAUAUGUACUAUGUGUGCUAGCGAGUCGAUCCAGGGACUAGCACAGUGAGCACAGACACAACAAAUCUUAUCAGGUUCGGAUCAUUACAGAUGGUAUCAGAGCAAUGUGUUGAUUGUAGGUCUUGACCCUAGAAAAUGGAUUAGAAAAGCCAUAGGAGUGAAAAACUUAAUUUACAACUUGUCGUCUACUUGUUAGUUCAUACUCUUGUACUCAUAUCUUUUCUUUUCAAGUAUAGACGACCCCUGGAAUUAUAUUAGUGUCAUUUACAGAGUUUUAGUUGACAGACCACCAUUCCUAAGUUGUGUUCGAUAAAAGAUUUGAUGUAGUAUGAUGAGAUCAUAUCUCUUGUGGAUAUGACCUUGCCUGUAGGUUUUGCUUGUGUUGUGUGAUAUGUCAUAUGUUUGGUUGGUCAUUGCUUUCUGUGUUGUCAUAUUUCAUGAAUUGUUUGUAUUAUGCAAUUGGAUGCUUGAUUGAUCAUAUGUGCUCUUUUGAUGUGAUUACUUUAGCAUAGUUUUGGUGACUUGUGUGAAUUGUGUGAAUUUAGUGUUUGUUUUUGUAGGAUAGUUUUCGGAACUUAAAUCAGAUGAAUGAGUCCUUGGUAUAGCGCUCUAUUGUUCCUAGAGAAUGCGCCACUGACAUAGCGCACUUGAGAAAUACUUCUGAAGUUCUUGUCAUGUUUAGGCUGUGUUCGGACUGGAGGAAAGCAGAGCAAAGGAAUGGGAAAAGGUACAGGAAGUGAGGUUGGGUGUACAGUACAAAUCAUAGGUCUCCAAAGUAGAGGAAUAGAAAAAUGAGGUGUGUUCGCAUCACAGGAAGCUUUCUAGCAGUUGCCUUGAGUUUUGACCAUUACACAUACUAGCCAUUGCACUACCUUUGCUCUAUACUCCCACCGUAAACUAAUACUCCCUCCGUCCGAAAAUACUUUUCAUCAAAAUGAAUAAAAAUGGAUGUAUCUAGAACUAAAAUAUGUCUAGAUACAUCUCUUUUUAUCCAUUUUGAUGACAAGUAUUUCCGGACGGAGGGAGUAUAAGAGUGUUUAGAUCACUAAAGUAGUGAUCUAAACGCUCUUAUAUUAGUAUGCAGAGGGAGUAUAUACGUACAGAUACACAAGCUUAAGAACACACAUCGCACAGCCAACCAUUCCCACAGCCAUUCUUCACUGCUGAGUUCAUUUCAACAUCACAUUUCUCAUUCAAGCGAUGAAUCCAAACUACCGUAGGCGAUCAGAAAAUGAAGAUGAAUUCGUUUUUCUCAUACAUCCUACAUUAGAAGGUAGCAUCUCAUCCACAAAAAUGCCAAUGCAUACAUCCAUCCUCACAGGAUCCACAUACAUGCAUGAAACACUUACCGGCCAUGAGGUCUUGUGCCAUCAUGUUCUUUCAAGAGCCAAAUAAGAUAUGACUUCAUUUUGUGAUUCCAUCUAGCUCUAGCA
This 15427-nucleotide long non-coding RNA is filed under the name Triticum aestivum (bread wheat). RNAcentral's name for it is "long non-coding RNA (TAES_LNC010381)". The stretch from base 14892 to 15026 matches the Rfam family "MIR1120/MIR1122 microRNA precursor family". The record is from RNAcentral. Lineage: Eukaryota; Viridiplantae; Streptophyta; Magnoliopsida; Poales; Poaceae.